This 497-nucleotide ribosomal RNA is filed under the name uncultured bacterium. RNAcentral describes it as "partial 16S ribosomal RNA". It matches the Rfam family "Bacterial small subunit ribosomal RNA", at positions 28 to 507 of the family's 1533-position model. The record is from RNAcentral.
GACGAACGCUGGCGGCGUGCCUAAUACAUGCAAGUUGAGCGCUGAAGGUUGGUACUUGUACCAACUGGAUGAGCAGCGAACGGGUGAGUAACGCGUGGGGAAUCUGCCUUUGAGCGGGGGACAACAUUUGGAAACGAAUGCUAAUACCGCAUAAAAACUUUAAACACAAGUUUUAAGUUUGAAAGAUGCAAUUGCAUCACUCAAAGAUGAUCCCGCGUUGUAUUAGCUAGUUGGUGAGGUAAAGGCUCACCAAGGCGAUGAUACAUAGCCGACCUGAGAGGGUGAUCGGCCACAUUGGGACUGAGACACGGCCCAAACUCCUACGGGAGGCAGCAGUAGGGAAUCUUCGGCAAUGGACGAAAGUCUGACCGAGCAACGCCGCGCGAGUGAAGAAGGUUGUCGGAUCGUAAAACUCUGUUGGUAGAGAAGAACGUUGGUGAGAGUGGAAAGCUCAUCAAGUGACGGUAACUACCCAGAAAGGGGCGGCUAACUACGUG